UUAUUUAUUCCUACGAGUAGAAAAUGUAUUUUCAGGAAUUUGAUAAAUAAAACUGAUCGAUUAUAGCGGGAAAGGUCUUUGGAAGGAGAGGAAACGAAGGGUAGGAGAUGUCCGGGGGAGUUUGGGAGAGAUAGAGACGCAUUUGGACGCAACCCAGACGCAUUCGAAAUGGUUCGAAGGGCGCUUGCGCCUUCGAAGGUAUUGGGGUGGCGUAGUUGACUACCUCGGGAGUUGUCGGUAGGCGAUACGAGGAUGGCUGUCGCCCUCGGCGACAAACGCGAUGCGAAACUGGCCGAACGCGGCGAGCGGUAUAAUAUCGCGUUGGUGCUCGAUAGAGGAGAGCCCGAUAGCACCCGAACGUCGAAGGUUUCGACGCGUACACGGUCUGCAAUUACCUUUGCAUCCACAACAAGUGGCCGGUUGGGCGAUAUCAUUGUUCAUCGGUAGCGGCACCUUCGCCGUGUCGACGCCUUUGCUCGAACCAUUUGGCUUGCGUCCUCUUCUUUCGAUCUUCCUGGCCACCAUCUUCUUCGUUCACCUGCUUUUUCAUCUCGCUGUUCUUCUUCUCGAUCCGGCUGAUCCGAGAGUAAGAGCGAGACCAACGAAUCUCGUAGUGCCUGAAUUCGAUCGUAAGAAACAUCCUCACGUUAUCGAGAACGGUCGGUGUCAUCUCUGUAACAUUACAACCAGCGGUGACAGAACGAAACAUUGUUCGAUCUGCAACAAGUGCGUAGUACGAUUCGAUCAUCACUGCAAGUGGUUGAACAAUUGCAUAGGUGCUAGGAAUUACCCUUUAUUCUUAGCCUGCCUGAUAUCGGCUAUACUGGCUUCUCUCUCAGUGGUAGCCUUAUCCAUCGCCGAGUUAUUCCUCUUCAACGUCCAUCGAGAAGUUUGCCGCUCGAAUGCGACGAUGGAGAACGUUACUAGUUUACCUUCGACCGUUUUCCCAAUACAACAACCACCCGGUACCGGCACGCUUCUUGUCAUCCUGACGUUAGGCAUACUCUCGGCAGUAGCGGCCAUUCUCUUGAUACAUCUCUGUUUCUUCCAUGGUUACAUAGCCUAUCUCGGCUUAACCACUUACGAGUACGUCAGGAAUAAGAGAGAAAGAAAAUUGGAGGUCGGUAAAACUAACUUAACACCGAAUACCACGACCUGUCCCUCCUUUUGCGCUAGAGUCAAUGUACCCUCGAGAUAUCGUUUCUGUGAUUCACGCGUAGACGCCUCGAUGGAGGUCGUCUCGCGUGAAAGAAACGGUACGAAGGAAUAUCCGGAGUAUGGGAUCGAUCGACCAGAGGAUAUGCCUUCGGGACGAGAUCGAAAAAACAACUUUCGUCUCUGCUUCACUUACGAGACCAAUUCUAACGGUGCUUCGAUCGAGCUAUCCUCUCGAUCUACUCUUGGCGAGGACAACGAUGAAAAGCAUCGUAACAAUUCUUCUUCUUGGACCGGAAACGUCGCAAUUGCCGUCGCCGAAUCGCCAGAUUUCAAAUCGUCCACCCCUUCGCCCGUCUCUUGCUGUUUCUCCAUCGUAAAUCCGAUCUCUUCGGCGAGACUCGAACGUAAUAAGCAAACUCGAUCGAGGAAGUGUCCCAAGGAUAAUACAGAGACUGCUGGUACUAGUAUUACAUCUAGGGAAAGACGGACAUGUGGUACGAUCGGAAGAAUAAGAACUUUUCUUCGAACGCGUUUCAAAAAGAACUCUCGUCAACGAUCUAUUAACGCGGAAACUGCGGAUAAAACGAAAAGAAGGAACAGAGUAGCACCCUCCGUCGAUCGCGAAGAAGGCAACGUGGCUGAAACGAGCGUAUCAACGUUCGAAAAUCGACUCGAAAAUGAAAACCAUGCGAGAGAGGAAUCUUCUUCUGUUUCGUCAUCUCGUCCUCCCAGUAAAUUACCGCCUUUGGAUCUAAGAACAGCCAGAAUUUCGUCGAUCGACGAGAUCGUUACCGAUGAAAUCGGUCCUGAUCUGAUACCUGUGCCUCCUUCAACAGUGACGGCGAUUGUAACAUCGCCAACGGUAGUACCACCGCCGAUGAGAACGAUACCAUCUAUCUCCAAGAGGAAUCAAUCUCAUCUUCGAGCUCGAAGAUCCUCCCUUCGGAAAAGGCCAAGAUUUAAAAUGGGUCCUCGGCUUGCUCAAUCCGCUCAAUUAUCGCCUAUUCCAGAAUCAGAAUUCUCCAAACCGGCUUCUCCGCGUUCUCCACCUCAAUCAAAUCAUUUUGCCUUUCCGCCGUUACAAAAUUGAUCGACGUUUACAUAAACCGUGAUAAAAAAAGAUUAGUAGAAAGAUCUUGAGGAUUUAAAUGAAAUAUCGUCGAAAAAAGAGAGAUGAAUCUGAAAAAAAUUACGCUUUCGCGUUUAUAGCGGCAGAGAAACGCGACUUUUGUAAUACUUCUAUAUCUACGUAGAACUCGCGCACUCAAUGGCGAAGCCAUUGUGUUAUCUGUUUUUUGAAAAGCUUGAUGAUGGACGAUAUCGUACAUAGGUAAUAUCGUACUCGAAAGAAACUCGGAUUUUCUUACGGGAAUUUUUUUGGAGAAAUAAUCGCAGAGAUUUGUGUGCUUUUCCUCGCGAAUCGAUCUGCUGCGAAGCCAUACGCUUUAGGAUUCUUCGAUGAUAUGCGCACACGCGUCGUGUCUACAUAAGUAAUAUCGAGAGCUUUCGAUCACCACGUGAAAAACAAUGAUUGUUCGUUCUCUACUUAUUAUCGCAUAAAAUCGAAUAUUCCCGCGUGAUUCUUUUUUUGUCUUGUUUUCAACUUUAUCGUCCAAUGUAAAAAGCUUGUUUAAAUAGAAAGAGUAAGAUCAUCGAUCGCUAUUGAUUGUCAGGGUUGCUUGCGUCAAGGUUGCUAGAUGCGACAGUUUUUUCUUAUUGUAAUCGUACCGACAUGGAAAUUAGAUUUUAGAAAAGAAAAGUAUAAGUUAGAUAUUUUGAAAAUUAUUAAUACGAGCGAUAGCUCUCUGAUAAAUUAUUGAUAAAUUAUUAAUAAAUGCGUAGAGAUGAUAUUUUGAAAUCUGUAAAAUCAAAUUAACCUAGAGUAAAAUAACCGAGAUUUUAGUACGCACGAUUUUAAUAACUUCGUAUUUUAAUAGAAACGUAGGAAAUGGCUAAAAGUUACGAUACGACUGUGAUCUUACUCGUUCGAAUUCAAAUAUUCGAAUAUAUAAACGUGCUUUUCGUAUUUCUAUUUGCAUAGUACGAUAUACAUGCAUACACAUAUAUGUAUAUAUAUUUUCAAAAGUUACAUGAAUUUGAUAUAAAAUUAUAAAUAUCGUAAAAUUAACGAGAAUCGUGUAUAAAUCGUUAAGCAACUUCUCGUCGUCAAGUCUUAAUCCCAGGCUAUUUCAAUUUUAUAUUUCCAUUUUUUACGAAUUUCUAAAAUAACGUUAAAAUAAUGAUACUUUGCGUACAAUUCAAACAUAAUGCGCCUUUCACAAUAAAUUUUCACCGCCGUAAAAGUCCAAUAUUUUUCGACACGUUUUUUCAAUCUCGAAGAGAUUAAAGUUCAACAUUUUGCAACGAACGCGCGACAAUGAUCGAUCGAUCGAUCCAUUGAUCUUACAGAACGUUACUGUCCGACGUUUAGAUAAUAUUUUGAUACAGAAAGUGGCACAGGCUGGUACAUGCUAGCAAAAAAGGAGAAGAUAGAGAAAAAGUGGGAAGACAUAAACUUGUCCGAUUACCAUCAACGAACAUAUUAUAUACUUGCUAAAGUUCCUUCCGAAGCAUGUAUUAAAACGAAAUCAAGCGCAACAUUAUCGUUCUGCGACACGCAAACUUUGGACGGUGUGCCCGUUUGUUGCCUUUCUUACAAGGCUCUAUAGAAUAUCGGUUAUAAGCAGCAUACAUGAUCUAGAUUUCGAUGAAUAUGAGCGAGAACGAUGGAAGUUCGACAAAACCCGAGAAGAUAAAUGUUUGGAAGGAUGUCCUUGGCUCUCCGAGAUACGUUGUUGCACCGAUGGUCGAUGCAAGUGAGUUGGCAUGGAGACUGCUUUCUCGACGUCACGGGGC
Molecule: RNA transcript, 4014 nt
Organism: Vespula vulgaris
Lineage: Eukaryota; Metazoa; Arthropoda; Insecta; Hymenoptera; Vespidae
Gene: Dus1
Gene name: tRNA-dihydrouridine(16/17) synthase [NAD(P)(+)]-like
Exons: 2
Source: RefSeq, a predicted model, not a curated record